AUCCCAAAAAUUGGUUUUCUGAUGAGAUUGUCAUAUUGUUAGCAUUAAGACAUUUUAAGUAUUGUAGUUUAGCCUAAUAAUUUCUCAUUUUAGAUUAAUUUGAAAUUCUUUGACCUCUAACUGAGGUCGAUUUCUCAUUACUGGUGAUUAUAUCCAAACAUGGAGGAAUAACAGACCACCAAAGUGCCAAAAUCUACCUU
Molecule: long non-coding RNA, 200 nt
Organism: Pipistrellus kuhlii (Kuhl's pipistrelle)
Lineage: Eukaryota; Metazoa; Chordata; Mammalia; Chiroptera; Vespertilionidae
Exons: 2
Source: RefSeq, a predicted model, not a curated record